UACAGAGGUGGCAAGCGUUGUUCGGAAUUACUGGGCGUAAAGGGCGCGUAGGCGGUCCUGUAAGUCCUGUGUGAAAUCCCCCGGCUCAACUGGGGAAUUGCACGGGAAACUGCGGGGCUUGAGUUCGGGAGAGGGAAGCGGAAUUCCGGGUGUAGCGGUGAAAUGCGUAGAUAUCCGGAGGAACACCGGUGGCGAAGGCGGCCUUCUGGACAGUGACUGACGCUGAGAUGCGAAAGCGUGGGGAGCAAACAGG
This 253-nucleotide ribosomal RNA is filed under the name uncultured bacterium. RNAcentral describes it as "partial 16S ribosomal RNA". It matches the Rfam family "Bacterial small subunit ribosomal RNA", at positions 524 to 776 of the family's 1533-position model. The record is from RNAcentral.